RNA transcript from Cercocebus atys (sooty mangabey), 3388 nucleotides. RefSeq lists it as uncharacterized. Lineage: Eukaryota; Metazoa; Chordata; Mammalia; Primates; Cercopithecidae. The transcript has a single exon. The record is from RefSeq and is a predicted model, not a curated record.
CUCAGCUGCAGUGAAAAGACUGUUGCAUGUCUCUGUGCAGCCUCUUAUCGCGGAGGUCUGGCUUCCGCUGCUGCUGCGCGGCCCCUCCCCCGCCCGCCCAGCCCCACCAGGAAGCCCAGGGCGGACUCGUGGAGCUCCUAAUGCACGCGGCGGCGAGGAAAACGCUCUUCAACUUUCGGCUGGCGCCCUCCCGCGCUUCCUCGGGCCCCAGGGUCGCCUGUCAACCGGACAGAGUCCGCAAAGGCGGGUGAUGGGUGCUUGCCCCGCGGCGCCGAGAGCAGGAGGAAGCUGGAGCCCGCGCGGGCGCCGUGGAUCCCCUCGGCCUCCCGUUGGUAUCUUCCAUCUCAUGCGUUCAACAUUGUAACCUCGCGGCGGGCGUGCAGACCGGACGCCCUCCAGCUACUUACUUCUACCGACUAGCUCGACACACUAGUGGGUUCGUUUUGAAAGAGGCCCUUGCACCGGGCUUUACAAGGAAGCCGGCAAGGUUAGAUUGAAGGUUAGAAGCCGAUUAGACUAGAAUCCUGCGAUCUGAUGAGACUGCCGCCUUAAAAUGCACCAAACAGUUUUUGAACCUGGAGGGCUAACAGGCGGGAAAAACAUCUUCAAGAUUGCCACUGUACAGCCUGUCCAGUUUUGGAAAUCCUUAGUGAAACUGUCACACAAGCACAAACACUCAUAUGUCAGCUUUCCUUCUACUUUGUAAAUAAUAUUUGUAAUUUACAAGCCACUCUAUUUCCAACUUUACACCAUGUGAUUUAGAGAAAGCAAAGCUCCCUCUUUAAAAAUAAUACAUUACUUUCUGAAAUACCGCGAUAUUCCACAGCAAGUAAGCCAUAUUGUCGCUAGAGCAAAUAAACCACAGCCCCACAUCAUAAUUCACUGGGUGCUGUAAGAUGUAACUUGGCUUCGCUUUGAAUGGAAAGAAUGCUGAACGUCUGUGAUAUGAUGAAGUUUUGGAGAUUGGGGGCAGGAUUUCCUUUGAAUGUAAGGAAUUCGGAUAACUUGUGCAACGAAGAUUCUAAUGAAAAACGUUUGUCCCAUGUUUGGGACACAAUUUGGGACAAAAAUGCUGGAUAUGGUACAACAUUCUUCCUGCAGGUUAGGUUGUGUUGAAGAAAGUGAGGCCAGCUCGCGGUGAAGGAAAAACAUCAGAAAGGUGCUAAAGUGCAGAAAUACCUUCCAGAGGCACUAACAGCCGACUUGAGUUCUUGACCUUUAGCUAGAUCCACAAAGCACUGAGUUAAAAUUGUACACUGAGCCCUUCCAGAACAAAUAGUUAAUUAAAUGGUGCCUCUUCCCAGAGUUAAUGGUUUAAAAGGACUCAAGUACCCACACAGUUUUAGCAAACUAAAAGAACACUGACACUUUCUCAGAGAACAGGAAUGGGGACUUUCUAUCUGCCCAUUAGUAACUACCCCAAGCUAUGAAGACUUCCAUUCCUCUUACUAAGCAUUCAGCAACUACAUUUAAUGCCUACUAUGCCAGUGAUGCAAGAAUGGAUAAGACAGUCCCUACACUCAAGGAUAACACCUCUACUAGGUGAGAGACAAACCAAUUAAUUCUGCAUAAGGGAUAAGUGCUAUGAUGUUGGAAGCAAUCCCACGAGGGCUCUGAGGAUGGUGAAGGAAGGGUUCCUGGAGGAUUUACAUUUAACUGGUGCCUUGAAAGAUGUGUAGAAGUUGGCAAGAUCAAAAGGGAGUAGAGUCCAGGUGGAGAAAAGAAAAGAGCAGGACAGGCUGGAUGGCGUGGCUCACACCUGUAAUCCCAGCACUUUGGGAGGCCAUGGAGGGUGGAUUGCUUGAGGCCAGGAGUUUGAGACCAGCCUGGGUGACAUUAAAAGACCCUGUCUCAAAGAAAAUGAAAAGAGUAGGGUAUACACAAGGGGCCUGCCAGCCUUCUCAGCCUUUCUAUGAGAAGCGAGGGGAGGGUAGUACAGGAAAGUGGCAGGAGAUGACGCUAAAAGUAGGUCUGUGUUAAUCUAACAAGUCUCAACUUUACUGUCAAAACUAAUGAGCUAGAAAAGUUUAGGCAGCAAGGGCCAGAGAUGGAGUCUAGACUUGUAUUGCAGAAAGUUCCUGUGACGGCAGCUUGGAGGGUGAAUGAGAGUGUGGGAUGGAGGGGUGAAUGGGUGUGGACAGACUGGAAAAAUGACUCAUGCAGGGAAUGAGGAAGGGAGGAGCCUUGGGAGACUCUCAAAUCCCUGGCUUAGCCUACUGAAUUGCUUACUACUUGCCUUUUAAUUUCUUCAUUUUGCCUCCCAUUGUCUAUGAUAUUAAAGGCCUAACUUCUUAGUAGAGCAACCUUUGCAUCUGCUAGCAGGUUGGUGUCCUAGCUGGCUUCCAUGCCCCUCUGCUUAGAAUGCCUGCAAACCACUAAGGACUAAUCCUGGUGGUAGAAAUUUAUUUUCAAUUGUUCUCAAACCCUUGUAGAAUUCCAAGUUAGAACUGUGGUGUUCUUUUAUCAUGUGGGUUAGAAAAUUUGCUGUUUGGAGCAACAUGGUGAAACAAAGGACGUUUGAACCUGUUUAUGGUGCAAAAGGGGAAAUUAUGUUUCUACUUCAACACUGGAGGAGGGGGGAACUUCUGGGAGCAAAAGAGAAAUUGAAACUGAGAUGAGACAUGUUUUUUGCUCCAUGACAGAAUACAAAGAAAUACAAGGAUGAUCCUUUAAUGUUAGAAACAGUAGAAUAACCAUCCUGGUAAAUAAAAAAGAAGAGAAAAACAUGUUAUUUUACAUUAGAUACAGAGAAAAACAUGGCUAAGAAAACUCAUAAAGCAAUGGUCAAUCUAUAACUCAAAAUGAGUCCAAAUAAAUUGUGAUAUAAAGCUACAUUACCACUGAUUUGGCCUAAUUUACUAUCAUUGAUAACAUAACAUGAAUGAUAAUAUUUAAAAUAUUAAAACACUGUAACAGACACCAGAUCAUAUGUUAAAACUAUUAAAUCAUGGUGUCAGCUUUCAACUGCCAGUAACAUCCUAACCACAUUUCAAACUAUGGAAAGUACUAAAAAAUCAUUAUAGUAAUAAAAAGUUAAUAGUUCCUCAUUUAGAAUACCAUUGAUAUUCCCUCAGUGCCAGGAGAACAUUAUAGUUACUCCUAUUUCUGUGAAGUGUAUAGUCCACAGGUUCAUAAGUGAGUAUAUCCGUGAGUAUAAAAAGAAGGUCAUUUGUGGGUGGAGAGGGAAAUUAUAGAAAACAAUUUCAGGUGAAAUAAACUACAUUUUCAGAUAAAGGAAAGAGUGUUCACUACAGGUUCCAGAAAUAUUUCAGUCCAUUCAAGUUUUAAUUAUACCAAUGAAUCUCAAGAGAAAUACAGUUAAGGGAUAUGGUUUUUAUAGAUAAUAUCAGCUCCUUGUUUACCAAUAAUAAAGAUAAAGAUAAUGGCA